CCUCUCUCAGGGUCGCACCUGGAGAGUUUUCAGUACUCUACCAGUCUCGGCUAUGGAGGUAGAGUCACACAAAGGUUUAACUAUUCCAUUCCUAGCUUGGCCAGUGGCUAGCGAGUGGAAGGCAAUCUGCUACAAGU
Small nucleolar RNA from Tachyglossus aculeatus (Australian echidna), 137 nucleotides. NCBI's taxonomy places the organism in Eukaryota, Metazoa, Chordata, Mammalia, Monotremata, Tachyglossidae. The record is from RefSeq and is a predicted model, not a curated record.